Molecule: ribosomal RNA, 643 nt
Filed under: uncultured Bacteroidota bacterium
Lineage: Bacteria; Pseudomonadati; Bacteroidota
Description: bacterial SSU rRNA
Rfam family: Bacterial small subunit ribosomal RNA
Source: RNAcentral
CAAUAUAUGAGACCGGCGCACGGGUGCGUAACGCGUAUGCAACCUACCUUUUACAGGGGGAUAGCCCAGAGAAAUUUGGAUUAAUACCCCAUGGUAUAUUUUAGUGGCAUCACUAGAUUAUUAAAGUUCCAACGGUAAAAGAUGGGCAUGCGUCCUAUUAGCUAGAUGGUAAGGUAACGGCUUACCAUGGCUACGAUAGGUAGGGGUCCUGAGAGGGAGAUCCCCCACACUGGUACUGAGACACGGACCAGACUCCUACGGGAGGCAGCAGUGAGGAAUAUUGGACAAUGGGCGCAAGCCUGAUCCAGCCAUGCCGCGUGCAGGAAGAAGCAUCUAUGGUGUGUAAACUGCUUUUGUACAGGAAGAAACACUCCCUCGUGAGGGAGCUUGACGGUACUGUAAGAAUAAGGAUCGGCUAACUCCGUGCCAGCAGCCGCGGUAAUACGGAGGAUCCAAGCGUUAUCCGGAAUCAUUGGGUUUAAAGGGUCCGUAGGCGGUUUGGUAAGUCAGUGGUGAAAGCCCAUCGCUCAACGGUGGAACGGCCAUUGAUACUGCCAGACUUGAAUUACUGGGAAGUAACUAGAAUAUGUAGUGUAGCGGUGAAAUGCUUAGAGAUUACGUGGAAUACCAAUUGCGAAGGCAG